This is a microRNA precursor of Mustela putorius furo (domestic ferret), 96 nucleotides long. The record is from Ensembl. Lineage: Eukaryota; Metazoa; Chordata; Mammalia; Carnivora; Mustelidae.
GCUGUGGGGAUCUGGCAUUGUGGCUCCUGCAUGAAAACCGUCGCUGGUGGCGCCUGGAUCUACAACACCACUUCUGCUGUCACAGUAAAGUCUGCC